UUUCUACCUGGAGAUCCCUUCUACUAGAGUCUUUUGCGAACCCUGAUCUAUAGAACAGGAAGGAUUGAUUUUUUUUUUUUUCUUCUAUUCAUGGAAUCAUUUCAUGGAAUCAUGAUAUGGUUUGGGUUGGAAGGGACCUUGAAGAUCACUGUGUUCCAAUUCUCCUAUGCUGGGGACAGAGUUACCAACCACUAAUUCAGGCACUCCUCUAUUAUGUCAACUACAUCACUCAGCUUAGUGUCAUCAGCAAUGUCACUGAAGGUGUACUCAAUCCCACUGUCUAGGUUGUUGAUAAAGAUGUUGAAAAUAUGUUGAUAACUAAAUAUGUUGAUAUCUAAAAAUGGAAAAAAAAAUUGCUGAUUUUUUUUCCUGUGAAAUGUUACUUGCUUCUCUUGAUGAAAUCUGGUAUCAAUUUACAUCUAUCUUGUGCACUGUCUUUCAGCUAAAGGUCAGCUUAAAAAUUGAGCUGUCACCAUGAGAGCACCCCACGCCCACAGCUAGCAGCAGCUAUUGACUGCAGUGGUUACUUCAUGACUACAUACAAUGAGACAUUAAAGAGGACAUAAAUUAUUGAAGAACAUAAUUAAAUAGGAAGGAAGGGGUUUGCUUGGUAAAGAUAGUUUCAAAGUUAUAGAUUUCCUUUGUGAAAGGUGGCUGGAAAACUGCUGUCAUAUUAGUAAUAUAUGAGCCAAAUAACAUACAGACUAUUAACUUGUGCUCUGCUUCUUUCUCCUAUAGAUCUCUAGCAUCCCAAAAAAUGUUUUUCUGACCCCUGGCUUAUUAAUGUGACAAAACAGACACAUGCCAUUAUAUAGCAUCUCAUAACACUGGCUUAGUGGGAUUCAUUGGCCAUUGCCUUUCUUCAUACAAGAGGAAGAGAGAGGAAAGAUGAAGGGCAAAAUAGAGAGUGCUAGUCAGUUUAUAGUUUUAGAUUUCUUGAUUGUAAUCAUUUUUAAACCAUUAUGAAUACUAUUGUAAGUACUUAGAGAAAUGACAGAUAUUGAGAGCCAUGUGUAUUAUCCUAUCUGGCUAUGAUUUGAUGGAUAGAGAUAACUUUUAUUCACUAAUCUCUAAAUAAUAGCUAGCUUGUUAAACAGCAAACAAAUCUGUUAUAAUCAGAGCAGGCUGCUUCCUUAAGUUCCUAAACCCACUAAUACAAAGGGAUAUAUUUUCCUUCCUGAUCAAGUGAUCAAGAUAAAUCUUUUUUUUUUUUUCAAACAACAUAUCUUUGUCUAAUUUCCUUCUGGACAAACUUAUGCUGACAGUCAACAACUUGUAAAUACCUCAGUUCUUGCUCUGUAUAAAAUAGAUUAGAAAAGAUUUCCAUGCAAUAUUUACCCUAUAAUGCACUUUUGGAGUCAGCAGUAGCACUGCAUAUUCAAAAGUCCACUUAGUUCAGCACUGGAACAAAUCCAGAUGCCACACCACUGGAGAUACUCAAGGUCAGGCAGGACAGGGCUCUGUGCACCUGAUGGAGCUGUAGGUGUCUCUGUUCAUUGCUGGAGAGUUGGCCUGGACAGCCUUUAUGGGUCCUUUCCAACUCAAAUGAUUCUGUGAUUCUAUGCUUCUACAACAUUUCCUAUAUAUUAAACUCCUAUGUAGAAAAUGUUAUAUGGAUUUUGCUAUAGAAUCCACUUACAGAGGUAAACUCAAUGCUCUGGAGACAGCACAUUCAAGCUAUCAUUGCCAAAGACUGGUCUGAUCAUUUCUCUAAAAUGUAUAGAGACGAAGAAUUCAUCUUCUUCCCUGGUUUGACACCUAAUUAUCUUUUCUUAGGAAGACUUUUAUAUGUCUGGACUUAUGUUCCUUGAGGAAAACAUAGCAGAUUAUCUGUGACCUACCU
Gallus gallus (chicken) is the source of this 1843-nucleotide long non-coding RNA. The record is from Ensembl. Lineage: Eukaryota; Metazoa; Chordata; Aves; Galliformes; Phasianidae.